CUUUCACAUACCAAGCACUUUUGCAAGCUGAAAUGCUUUAGGGAUCUGAAGUAUUCAUUUAACACAAGACCAACAUGCCUUAACGUGUAACAAAGUAAUAGUUUAAAAAGUAACACGCAGCAUCCCAUGACUUCUAGUAUGCAAACACACACUACAGAUCAUGGGAUGCCAAUUGUUGCAGAAGUACACAAAGUCACUAAACCACUGUAGCGGUUAGUCCAUGCAGUGUGUUGAGAAAGUAUAUUUUUUUUCACUAUAGACUUACUAGUGAUUUUGCCAACACAGAGAAUACAUUGUAUAUAAAACCUAAAAACAGACUUCACGAGAACAAUAGCAGGAUUAUUUUCUAAAGUGAGAAUUGCCAGGAAUACAAAGUGAAUUUCAAAUUUAUGACCGAAAUAGCUAAACUGCAAGCAUAGCGCACAUGUAGAAUUUGUCAAAUUCAGCUAUGAUGGUCUUAGACUUGAAAUUCACUUUGAAUUGCCAACAAUUAUCACGUUUAGUUAUCAACCCUGUAAGAGCUAGCAAAUCGUAAACAGCUUGUCCUUCAAUUAUUCAGGUUUCAGGAACGUUUUAGCUAUCUUGUGCCAUUACAGGGAGAACCUAUGCCAGUUGCAACUUGCACAUCAGACUAAUUACACUAAAAGGGACAGUACAUGUUCAAAACUGGCAGUACAAGAGACACAACUACUCUGUUCAAAACUGGCAGUACAAGAGACACAACUACCCCAGACUAUCAUUGUGGCCUUCAGUGUAAACCUCACAACAUUGGGAGAUGUGAAAUAAGGACAUUGGGAUCCACCAGGGAAAUGCUAGUGAUGUAACUUGUUUCAUAUGUGAUGUUGAGAAGGAAGGGAAAGUCCUUAAAAAGGGUGACGAAAUGGUAUUAAUGCACGCCAGGCUAACAGCCUCACUAAGAGCAGCCCAUGCGUAAAGUAAUCUGCUCGGCACAAGCAUGCCUAUGCUGAUAGAGGACAUUUUCUUUGUGUCCCCGUAUUCAGGACACCAGGGAACUAAACCUGUAACGGCUCGACAGGAGCCUGAAUUCAGGACGGUCCCAUCAUAUCAGCAAUAGAGAAAUAGAUGUUUGCAGGUAGAUAAGGCUGUGUAAGAAUUCUGCU
Molecule: non-coding RNA, 1121 nt
Organism: Pelobates cultripes (western spadefoot toad)
Lineage: Eukaryota; Metazoa; Chordata; Amphibia; Anura; Pelobatidae
Source: the annotation of a GenBank genome assembly